This 1510-nucleotide long non-coding RNA is filed under the name Homo sapiens (human). RNAcentral's name for it is "HSALNT0364409". The record is from RNAcentral. Lineage: Eukaryota; Metazoa; Chordata; Mammalia; Primates; Hominidae.
AAAACAAAGAAGGUUUUCACAGAUUGGAAGAAAGAAUCUGAAUUUGGAGAUGACUUGGUCAUGCAAAAUCUUUCAACAAGGAUAUUGUGAUCACUUCUAGGUCACAAAUUACAGUCAGCCUACCAGCAUCAUCCUCCCUUCUUCUUCCGGGAAAGAACCAGCACUCAAUGAAGGCACAAUGGCAUCAUGUUGUAUUUGGGAAUUAUUCUGCUUUUCUUUAGUAGUUGUGAUAAUCUCAUACCUUAGAUGUAUGUUUUUUACAUAAAAACAUUCCUGGAUACACAAGCCUGUAUAUUCUGUCUUCCCUGCAUUUAUUCUGCUUAGCCCUUCUGUUCUCCUUGCUGUUCCUUGAAUUCACUGAACACAUUCCCACUUUAGCACCAUCUGCUCUUCUACUGCUUAGGACUUUCUCUCUCCGCGUACUGAUGCUUCAUCUCAGUUCUCUGCUCAUUUGAUGCUAGUCAGAGAGGUCUUCCUGACUACCCUGUGUAUGUAGAGAGGAGUAUGGCACUUCUAUGUCACUUUUCCCUUUAUUUUUCUUUACAGCACCUAUCACUAACUGACAAGUUAUACAUGUGCAUACUUACACACAUGCAUAUACAUCUUGUAUUAGAGAUUGAGUAUCCCUUAUCUGAAAUGCUUGGGACCAGAAGUGUUUAAGAUUUUGGAUUUUUUGGAUUUUGGAAUAUUUGCACAUAUGUUGGGGAUGGAACCCAAGUCUAAACAUGAAAUUUGUUUACAUUUUAUAUAUACCUUAUACACAUGGCCUUAAGUUAAUUUUAUACAUGUUUUAAAAUAAUUUUGUGCAUGAAACAAAGUUUGUGUUAAGUAUUUAUGUGUGGAAUUUACCACUUGUGGUGCCAUGUUGGCACUUAAAAUAUUUUGGAUUUUGGAUUUUCAGAUUAGGGACUCAACCUGCAUUGCUUGUUUCCCACACUAGAACAAGGACUUUGUUCACUGCUGUGUCUUCCAUAUCUAGAAGAAGCCUGGGACAUCUGACAUAAAGUAGACAGUGUUUGGGUAACAGUAUUUGUUGGGUGAAUGGAAGAAUAUUGGUUUGGAUUAAAUGAAUGCUUGGUUAAACUAUGUGAACACUUUUACUUGAAUCUCCAAUGAUGUAAGUUAAUAUUAGGGAAAACUAUUCCUUCUUGUCUUCUAUCACCUUGCAUUUCAUGUAUCUUUAAAUAAUAACUGAUAUAGGUAUAAUACCAUAGUUUGCAUAUCACUUGUUUAUUUAAUAUUUGAUAUUGAAAACUCUUAGCACUUAUGUGAGAUUGAUGUUUUUACUCCCAUUAUAUUUAUUAGUAAAAAGAUAAUGUUAAGAAAUUACUGGACAUAUUUAUACUUACUUGCAUUUUCUGUGUGUUUUCUCUAGUAUAUAGUUAGACUGAUUUAUAGAUUUCUACUAUUGAUAGAAUUCAUGCUUUUCUGAUUGACCAAAGGGGAAAUCCUUCCUAUGUAAAACCUUUCAUGAUCUUCCUCCAAAUAUAGAAUUGACUGCUUUCUCUUU